Molecule: long non-coding RNA, 338 nt
Organism: Mustela erminea (ermine)
Lineage: Eukaryota; Metazoa; Chordata; Mammalia; Carnivora; Mustelidae
Exons: 2
Source: RefSeq, a predicted model, not a curated record
UUUCUCCUUUGUGCCCGAAGGCAAAACCGACCCCGCCGUUGAGGAGUUGGUAGCCGCUAGUCUUGGGGCUGCAAGACAGAAACACCCUCCGGCUGAGCCAGAUGCAUUUGUAAGUGGAGAGGAAGUAGAGAGAACCAUACAGUACCAACCAUUACCAACUUGUGGCCAAUGUGAUGUCAACCAGCCUCUCUGGCACCCUUCCCCAUCAAGUAUGAUUCUGAAGAGAAUGCCAGACAUGUACCACGCUGCCCACAAAUAUUUCCAUAUGUUUCUCUCAACGGGGACUCGAUUACGAUUCCAUUAUCACAGGAAAAUUAAUAAAAUAUCACUAAAUAAGA